CCUACGGGGGGCAGCAGUGAGGAAUAUUGGUCAAUGGCCGGAAGGCUGAACCAGCCAUGCCGCGUGAAGGUCAGUGCCCUAUGGGCGUUAAACUUCUUUUGUGCGGGAGCAAUAAUGGUCAAGUGUGGCCAGACGAGAGUACCGUACGAAUAAGCAUCGGCUAACUCCGUGCCAGCAGCCGCGGUAAUACGGGGGAUGCAAGCGUUAUCCGGAUUUAUUGGGUUUAAAGGGUGCGUAGGCUGUGAGGUAAGUCAGCGGUGAAAUGCCCCCGCUCAACGGGGUGAAGUGCCAUUGAUACUGCCUUGCUGGAAUGCGGAUGCGGUGGGAGGAAUGUGUGGUGUAGCGGUGAAAUGCAUAGAUAUCACACAGAACACCGAUUGCGAAGGCAGCUCACGAAUCCGCGAUUGACGCUGAUGCACGAAAGCGUGGGUAUCAAACAGGAUUAGAUACCCGAGUAGUC
RNAcentral lists this ribosomal RNA (460 nucleotides) under uncultured bacterium. RNAcentral describes it as "partial 16S ribosomal RNA". It matches the Rfam family "Bacterial small subunit ribosomal RNA", at positions 338 to 795 of the family's 1533-position model. The record is from RNAcentral.